AGAGUUUGAUCCUGGCUCAGGACGAACGCUGGCGGCGUGCUUAACACAUGCAAGUCAAGGGGAACCUUCUGCUUCGGCGGGACUAGUACACUGGCGGACGGGUGAGUAACGCGUAGGCAACCUACCUUUGUGCUUGGGAUAAUUCACCGAAAGGUGGGCUAAUACCGAAUACUGUCUGUUGGUCACAUGAUUGACAGAUUAAAGAUGCUGCAAAGUAUCACACCAGGAUGGGCCUGCGUUCCAUUAGCUGGAUGGUGAGGUAACGGCUUACCAUGGCGACGAUGGAUAGCUGAUCUGAGAGGGUGAUCAGCCACACUGGGACUGAGAUACGGCCCAGACUCCUACGGGAGGCAGCAGUGAGGAAUAUUGCGCAAUGGACGAAAGUCUGACGCAGCAACGCCGCGUGGGGGAUGAAGCACUAUGGUGUGUAAACCCCUGUAGUUAGGGAAGAACGGCACAGAUUCGUAAGGGUUUGUGUAUGACGGUACCUAAAAAGUAAGCUCCGGCUAACUCCGUGCCAGCAGCCGCGGUAAUACGGGGGGAGCAAGCGUUGUCCGGAAUUACUGGGCGUAAAGGGCGUGUAGGUGGCUGAAUAAGUCAGAUGUGAAAGCUCCCGGCUUAACCGGGAAAAUGCAUUUGAAACUGUUUAGCUUGAGUGCGAGAGAGGGUAGUGGAAUUCCCAGUGUAGCGGUGAAUGCGUAGAUAUUGGGAAGAACACCAGUAGCGAAGGCGGCUACCUGGCUCGUAACUGACGCUAAUGCGCGAAAGCGUGGGGAUCAAACAGGAUUAGAUACCCUGGUAGUCCACGCUGUAAACGAUGGGCACUAGGUGUCGGUUGGUCAUAGACUGAUCGGUGCCGGAGCAAACGCAUUAAGUGCCCCGCCUGGGGAGUACGAUCGCAAGGUUGAAACUCAAAGGAAUUGACGGGGGCCCGCACAAGCGGUGGAGCAUGUGGUUUAAUUCGAUUCAACGCGAAGAACCUUACCGGGGUUUGACAUCAUAGCGAAAUUUGCAGAGAUGUAAAUGCCUUUCGGGGCGCUAUGACAGGUGCUGCAUGGCUGUCGUCAGCUCGUGUCGUGAGAUGUUGGGUUAAGUCCCGCAACGAGCGCAACCCUUGUCUCUAGUUACCAGCGAGUAAUGCCGGGGACUCUAGAGAGACUGCCGGUGAUAAACUGGAGGAAGGUGGGGAUGACGUCAAGUCCUCAUGGCCCUUACAUCCCGGGCUACACACGUGCUACAAUGGCCGGUACAACGAGUCGCAAUACCGCGAGGUGGAGCCAAUCUCUAAAAACCGGUCUCAGUUCGGAUUGCAGUCUGCAACUCGGCUGCAUGAAGCCGGAAUCGCUAGUAAUCGCGGAUCAGCAUGCCGUGGUGAAUACGUUCCCGGGCCUUGUACACACCGCCCGUCACGCCAUGGGAGUCGGCAGUACCCGAAGCCGGUCCACUAAGGAUCGUCGGAGGUAAGGCUGAUGACUGGGGCGAAGUCGAAACAAGGUA
This 1497-nucleotide ribosomal RNA is filed under the name metagenome. RNAcentral's name for it is "bacterial SSU rRNA". It matches the Rfam family "Bacterial small subunit ribosomal RNA". The record is from RNAcentral.